Molecule: unclassified non-coding RNA, 613 nt
Filed under: Hydrangea alternifolia
Lineage: Eukaryota; Viridiplantae; Streptophyta; Magnoliopsida; Cornales; Hydrangeaceae
Description: sequence contains ITS1, 5.8S rRNA gene, ITS2
Rfam family: 5.8S ribosomal RNA (bases 213-368)
Source: RNAcentral
AACCUGCAACAGCAGAACAACCAGCGAACUUGUAAAAAUAGAUUGAGGUGCCUAGUGUACCUCAAUGCUUGGACGUGCUUGUAAUGGGCACGAUCUCAGCACAAUAACGAACCCCGGCACAAGUUGUGCCAAGGAAAAUUUAUGAAGACAGAGUCCCUUGCUGCCUCGUUCUGCGGGUGUUUGCUUGGGGUAAAGCUUCUAACACAAAACACGACUCUCGGCAACGGAUAUCUCGGCUCUCGCAUCGAUGAAGAACGUAGCGAAAUGCGAUACUUGGUGUGAAUUGCAGAAUCCCGUGAACCAUCGAGUCUUUGAACGCAAGUUGCGCUUGAAGCCAUUAGGCUGAAGGCACGUCUGCCUGGGCGUCUCGCAACACGUCGCCCCCAACCCUUUGCCUCUCUAUGAGUGGCAGAUGUUGGGGGCAGAUGAUGGCCUCCUGUGUGCAAAUGUACAAAGUUGGUCUAAAAGCAAAAGUUCUUGACAAUGGAUCGUCACAGCACGUGGUGGUUGAACAAACUUGUCGCGUUUUGUUGUUGGCGCACCUAUUGUUGGGCAAAGCUACGACCCUUGCGCGUCAUUUUUCUAAUGGCGCAUCGACAGCGACCCCAGGUCA